RNAcentral lists this ribosomal RNA (995 nucleotides) under uncultured bacterium. RNAcentral's name for it is "bacterial SSU rRNA". It matches the Rfam family "Bacterial small subunit ribosomal RNA", at positions 356 to 1376 of the family's 1533-position model. The record is from RNAcentral.
GGGGAAUAUUGCACAAUGGGGGAAACCCUGAUGCAGCGACGCCGCGUGGAGGAAGAAGGUCUUCGGAUUGUAAACUCCUGUUGUUGAGGAAGAUAAUGACGGUACUCAACAAGGAAGUGACGGCUAACUACGUGCCAGCAGCCGCGGUAAAACGUAGGUCACAAGCGUUGUCCGGAAUUACUGGGUGUAAAGGGAGCGCAGGCGGGAAGACAAGUUGGAAGUGAAAUCCAUGGGCUCAACCCAUGAACUGCUUUCAAAACUGUUUUUCUUGAGUAGUGCAGAGGUAGGCGGAAUUCCCGGUGUAGCGGUGGAAUGCGUAGAUAUCGGGAGGAACACCAGUGGCGAAGGCGGCCUACUGGGCACCAACUGACGCUGAGGCUCGAAAGUGUGGAUAGCAAACAGGAUUAGAUACCCUGGUAGUCCACACCGUAAACGAUGAUUACUAGGUGUUGGAGGAUUGACCCCUUCAGUGCCGCAGUUAACACAAUAAGUAAUCCACCUGGGGAGUACGACCGCAAGGUUGAAACUCAAAGGAAUUGACGGGGGCCCGCACAAGCAGUGGAGUAUGUGGUUUAAUUCGACGCAACGCGAAGAACCUUACCAAGUCUUGACAUCCUGCGACAGUUCUGGAAACAGAACUUUCCUUCGGGACGCAGAGACAGGUGGUGCAUGGUUGUCGUCAGCUCGUGUCGUGAGAUGUUGGGUUAAGUCCCGCAACGAGCGCAACCCUUAUGGUCAGUUACUACGCAAGAGGACUCUGGCCAGACUGCCGUUGACAAAACGGAGGAAGGUGGGGAUGACGUCAAAUCAUCAUGCCCUUUAUGACUUGGGCUACACACGUACUACAAUGGCGUUAAACAAAGAGAAGCAAGACCGCGAGGUGGAGCAAAACUCAGAAACAACGUCCCAGUUCGGACUGCAGGCUGCAACUCGCCUGCACGAAGUCGGAAUUGCUAGUAAUCGUGGAUCAGCAUGCCACGGUGAAUACGUUCCCG